CAAACUAAACAGGAUUCUCUUAGUAACGGCGAGUGAAAAGAGAUUAGCCCAACAUCGAAGCUUACAUACAUUUUGUGUGUCAUGCCAUGUGAUGUUAAAGGGUUCGCUAUUACAGACUGACCGACUUGAAGUCCAAUUUUGAAUGUGGCAUUGUGUGUAAACCCAUAGAUGGUGAAAGGCCCGUUCAGGUUGGUUAUUAGAUGAGAGAGUUUUGUUUAUAUGCUUACCUUUUGGAGUCGGAUUGCUUGAGAGUGCAGUCCAAAAUUGGUGGUAAACUCCAUCAAAGGCUAAAUACCUGUACGAGUCCGAUAGUUAACAAGUACCGUGAGGGAAAGUUGAAAAGUACUCUGAAGAGAGAGUAAACAGUACGUGAAACUACUUGGAGGUUAACCAGAUAGAGUCAAGCUGCUUGUUACCUAACAUUGCAUUACGUGCCUUGUAUGUGCUUUUCCAAAUGCCUUGCAUAGUACAUUGUUGUACAGUUUCUUCGGAAACGUGAACUACAUUGUUUUGUUGUUCUAUGUGCUUGGUAUUUGUUGGCACGUAUUGUUUAUGUUGGUAGCUAGUGCCACAAUCGGCUAUGUUAGCCAGUAUGUAUCAAUCAGCUUUUGUUCGGCAAGAUGAAACACUCUUGUUGAGCAUUUAGUGUAACAGUUUACUUGAUGACGUUGCACUACGAAGUCAUGGAGAAAAAGGCUAUGGCCCGUUGAUUGAUAUAGAUGCUGUGCACAUGACCGGUAACAUGUACUCACGUAAGUCUGUUUAGUUUUCUAAUUUCGGUUGGUAUACUACGUAGACGAGUCUGUUAAUUGUGGUUCUGUGGUA
Molecule: ribosomal RNA, 825 nt
Filed under: Entobdella soleae
Lineage: Eukaryota; Metazoa; Platyhelminthes; Monogenea; Capsalidea; Capsalidae
Description: eukaryotic LSU rRNA
Rfam family: Eukaryotic large subunit ribosomal RNA (bases 1-656)
Source: RNAcentral